Molecule: non-coding RNA, 592 nt
Organism: Cinara cedri
Lineage: Eukaryota; Metazoa; Arthropoda; Insecta; Hemiptera; Aphididae
Source: the annotation of a GenBank genome assembly
ACUGAAUCACCACAAAAAAACAUAAUUGAAUAUAAUACGUAAUUUCGUAAAGUUUCCCGUUGUUUUCCAAUUAUUAUGAAAACCGCUUGGACAAAAUUAUCUCCUAAAAAUACUACCCGGAUAAAAUUUCCUUUCAGAAAGAGUACUACAUUGGAAACAUCGGAGCAAAACUUCUGGUAGAAAAGUUGUUCACAGUUAAAAAUAUUUAAAAAAUAAACAUCAUAAUAAAACCAAAACAUUACUCGUUCGCUUCAGAAUCUAAAACAAUCGUUCGCACUAUCGUUUUAUAGUAAAAAGCAUAUCAUCUUCGCUGUUAAAUUCGACUCCGGUAACGAAGCAAUUACGGCUCACGGGCGUUUUUCGUUACAAUAACCAUAAAUUUAAUAAAUGAUUAAAAAAAAUUAAUGUUUUUUUAGUAAAAGAAAUCCAACCACGGUUUUCCAACUCGAAAGACGAAAUUCGAUAUUGACGUAAAAUACAAUACGACGGUAAUUAAUUAUCUUUAAGUGUAAUAUUUUGGGCGAUUGAUGCGACGCGAGGGGAACAAUCCGUCUGUGUAUAAAUUCAUAUAAUAAUUAUUCAUUCGAGUCCU